GGAGAAGUGUCUGAGUGGUCUAAAGAGCUCGAUUGCUAAUCGAGUGUACGUUUUGUACCAAGGGUUCGAAUCCCUUCUUCUCCU
Molecule: transfer RNA, 84 nt
Filed under: Eutreptiella gymnastica
Lineage: Eukaryota; Euglenozoa; Euglenophyceae; Eutreptiales; Eutreptiaceae
Description: tRNA-Ser
Rfam family: tRNA
About the family: Transfer RNA (tRNA) molecules are approximately 80 nucleotides in length. Their secondary structure includes four short double-helical elements and three loops (D, anti-codon, and T loops).
Source: RNAcentral